This 465-nucleotide ribosomal RNA is filed under the name Vreelandella stevensii. RNAcentral's name for it is "partial 16S ribosomal RNA". It matches the Rfam family "Bacterial small subunit ribosomal RNA", at positions 338 to 795 of the family's 1533-position model. Lineage: Bacteria; Pseudomonadati; Pseudomonadota; Gammaproteobacteria; Oceanospirillales; Halomonadaceae. The record is from RNAcentral.
CCUACGGGGGGCUGCAGUGGGGAAUAUUGGACAAUGGGGGCAACCCUGAUCCAGCCAUGCCGCGUGUGUGAAGAAGGCCCUCGGGUUGUAAAGCACUUUCAGUGAGGAAGAACGCCUGGUGGUUAAUACCCAUCAGGAAAGACAUCACUCACAGAAGAAGCACCGGCUAACUCCGUGCCAGCAGCCGCGGUAAUACGGAGGGUGCGAGCGUUAAUCGGAAUUACUGGGCGUAAAGCGCGCGUAGGUGGCUUGAUAAGCCGGUUGUGAAAGCCCCGGGCUCAACCUGGGAACGGCCUCCGGAACUGUCAAGCUAGAGUGCAGGAGAGGAAGGUAGAAGUCCCGGUGUAGCGGUGAAAUGCGUAGAGAUCGGGAGGAAUACCAGUGGCGAAGGCGGCCUUCUGGACUGACACUGACACUGAGGUGCGAAAGCGUGGGUAGCAAACAGGAUUAGAUACCCGGGUAGUC